UACGAAGGGGGCUAGCGUUGCUCGGAAUCACUGGGCGUAAAGGGUGCGUAGGCGGGUCUUUUAAGUCAGGGGUGAAAUCCUGGAGCUCAACUCCAGAACUGCCUUCGAUACUGGCGAUCUCGAGUUCGGGAGAGGUGAGUGGAACUGCGAGUGUAGAGGUGAAAUUCGUAGAUAUUCGCAAGAACACCAGUGGCGAAGGCGGCUCACUGGCCCGAUACUGACGCUGAGGUGCGAAAGCGUGGGGAGCAAACAGGG
Molecule: ribosomal RNA, 255 nt
Filed under: uncultured bacterium
Lineage: Bacteria
Description: partial 16S ribosomal RNA
Rfam family: Bacterial small subunit ribosomal RNA
Source: RNAcentral